UGUGGGCUCCUGGGUUGAGGUAGUAGGUUGUAUAGUUUAAGGGGCAGACAUUCAUCUUCCCUUAUCGGAGAUAAGCUAUGCAGCCAACUGCCUUUCCCAGGGCUUCGC
Molecule: microRNA precursor, 108 nt
Filed under: Petromyzon marinus (sea lamprey)
Lineage: Eukaryota; Metazoa; Chordata; Hyperoartia; Petromyzontiformes; Petromyzontidae
Description: let-7a-1 stem-loop (pma-let-7a-1)
Gene: pma-let-7a-1
Rfam family: let-7 microRNA precursor family (bases 10-100)
About the family: This family represents the microRNAs (miRNA) let-7 and mir-98. let-7 was identified from a study of developmental timing in C. elegans, and was later shown to be part of a much larger class of non-coding RNAs termed miRNAs. The extents of the hairpin precursors are not generally known and are estimated based on hairpin prediction. The products are thought to have regulatory roles through complementarity to mRNA.
Source: miRBase by way of RNAcentral